GUAUUUUCUCGUUGGUCUUCGGACCACUGGUCGGUCUCAUACGCGAUGCGACGGAUUAUGGUUACACCCUGCAUUUUCUUAACGGACUCAAUAUCAUAGCGAUUACCUUUUGGAUAGUCGAAGAUCUAUUGCGUAAGAACAAGAAGACGACGUUGGAAUAAUAUCACUCGGUUGUGCCACUGUUUUAUCGUUCCUGCCAUAUUUCACAAAACUAUAAAUAGAUAUCCUGCAUGUAAAGGAACAUUUGUACAUAUCUAAAAUUGAAGACACAUUAAGCAGUGACUUUGAAAAUACGGCUCAUAAGCUUUAAAAGUUCGCACAAAUACUGUGUUGGAAUUUUCCUAAACCAUGUUUCUUUUUGUAAGCAAAUGUAUACUAGUAUUCUAUUGUAGAUAGGUAAUUACUUUAUAAUGACUGCUGUUACCAGGACUGCCAAGUACCUUAGCUUAGCCGCAUUGAGGAUUAAAAAGUGCCUUGCUUUAAUUUUAAUUCGGAAAUAUAGUAAAAAUGUUGCUAAGAUAAAAAUCAAAUAAACCAAUUCUUUCGCCUGUGAAAGUGGAAAAAUUUUAGUUGCUCAAAAAGUAUUUUUUUAAGUACCACUUGAGGUAGAAAGGGGGCUAAAAGUGGCACGAUUUGAGGCAAAUUGGCAGUCCUGGCUGUUACUUAGUUGUACAUACUUAUGUAUUCAAAGGCAUUUAGUUGAAAGUUAUUUUUAUAAAAUAAAUUUACUAUGUAAAUAACUAAUAUAUUUAUCUGCAUGCAUGUAUGUUUUGAGCUGACUUUUAUUAUAAUAAAGAUAUUCUUUUGUUUUGACUGGCUGGUGGCCAUUUUAA
Rhagoletis zephyria (snowberry fruit fly) is the source of this 833-nucleotide long non-coding RNA. RefSeq lists it as uncharacterized. NCBI's taxonomy places the organism in Eukaryota, Metazoa, Arthropoda, Insecta, Diptera, Tephritidae. The record is from RefSeq and is a predicted model, not a curated record.